CUGCAAACCCUUGGGUUCUCUCAAUGAGCUUCAUGAGGUAGUCACCUGAAAUGGUUUUCACUCACAGGUGUGCCGUGUCAGGGUUAAUUAUGGAAUUUCUUGCUUAUUAAU
This is a long non-coding RNA of Etheostoma spectabile (orangethroat darter), 111 nucleotides long. RefSeq lists it as uncharacterized. Lineage: Eukaryota; Metazoa; Chordata; Actinopteri; Perciformes; Percidae. The record is from RefSeq and is a predicted model, not a curated record. The transcript is spliced from 2 exons.